This 488-nucleotide ribosomal RNA is filed under the name uncultured bacterium. RNAcentral's name for it is "partial 16S ribosomal RNA". It matches the Rfam family "Bacterial small subunit ribosomal RNA", at positions 28 to 507 of the family's 1533-position model. The record is from RNAcentral.
GAUGAACGCUAGCGGCAGGCUUAACACAUGCAAGUCGAGGGGCAGCAUAAUGGAUAGCAAUAUCUAUGGUGGCGACCGGCGCACGGGUGCGUAACGCGUAUGCAACCUACCUUUAACAGGGGGAUAACACUGAGAAAUUGGUACUAAUACCCCAUAAUAUCAUAGAAGGCAUCUUUUAUGGUUGAAAAUUCCGAUGGUUAGAGAUGGGCAUGCGUUGUAUUAGCUAGUUGGUGGGGUAACGGCUCACCAAGGCGACGAUACAUAGGGGGACUGAGAGGUUAACCCCCCACACUGGUACUGAGACACGGACCAGACUCCUACGGUAGGCAGCAGUGAGGAAUAUUGGUCAAUGGACGCAAGUCUGAACCAGCCAUGCCGCGUGCAGGAUGACGGCUCUAUGAGUUGUAAACUGCUUUUGUACGAGGGUAAACGCAGAUACGUGUAUCUGUCUGAAAGUAUCGUACGAAUAAGGAUCGGCUAACUCCGUG